RNAcentral lists this transfer RNA (73 nucleotides) under Allobosea sp. PAMC 26642. Its description in RNAcentral is "Bosea sp. PAMC 26642 tRNA-OTHER". It matches the Rfam family "tRNA". Rfam says of the family: Transfer RNA (tRNA) molecules are approximately 80 nucleotides in length. Their secondary structure includes four short double-helical elements and three loops (D, anti-codon, and T loops). Lineage: Bacteria; Pseudomonadati; Pseudomonadota; Alphaproteobacteria; Hyphomicrobiales; Alloboseaceae. The record is from RNAcentral.
GCGGGUGUAGCUCAAUGGCAGAGCAGCAGCUUCCAAGCUGAAGACGAAGGUUCGAUCCCUUACGCCCGCUCCA